GACGAACGCUGGCGGCGCGCUUAACACAUGCAAGUCGAACGGAAAGGCCUGCUUUCCCUUGUGGAUUGCGGGUACUCGAGUGGCGAACGGGUGAGUAACACGUGAGUGAUCUGCCCCCAACUUGGGUAUAAGCCUGGGAAACUGGGUCUAAUUCCCGAUAGGACUGCAGGGUGGUGCCUGUGGUGGAAAACGAUUUUCUAGUGGUUGGGGAUGAGCUCGCGGCCUAUCAGCUUGUUGGUGGGGUAAUGGCCUACCAAGGCGGCGACGGGUAGCCGGCCUGAGAGGGUGGACGGCCACAUUGGGACUGAGAUACGGCCCAGACUCCUACGGGAGGCAGCAGUGGGGGAUAUUGCACAAUGGGCGGAAGCCUGAUGCAGCGACGCCGCGUGGGGGAUGACGGCCUUCGGGUUGUAAACUCCUUUCGACCGCGAGGAAGCCACCUGGUUGGAAGGGUGGUGACGUUAGUGGUAGAAGAAGCACCGGCUAACUACGUG
Molecule: ribosomal RNA, 494 nt
Filed under: uncultured bacterium
Lineage: Bacteria
Description: partial 16S ribosomal RNA
Rfam family: Bacterial small subunit ribosomal RNA
Source: RNAcentral